GGAAAGGUGGCUCAGUGGUAGAGCACUUGCCUUGCAUGCAUGAGGUCCUGGUGUCAAUUCCU
Molecule: transfer RNA, 62 nt
Filed under: Dipodomys ordii (Ord's kangaroo rat)
Lineage: Eukaryota; Metazoa; Chordata; Mammalia; Rodentia; Heteromyidae
Rfam family: tRNA
About the family: Transfer RNA (tRNA) molecules are approximately 80 nucleotides in length. Their secondary structure includes four short double-helical elements and three loops (D, anti-codon, and T loops).
Source: Rfam by way of RNAcentral